CAGUGUGAUGGAAACAACGAUUAUGUGUACGUGAAGGUCAAUAUGCCUUACUUUAUGAGCGCGCUUAUUGAAUACUAAAUCAAACUCAACAGGUCUGACUG
Small nucleolar RNA from Trypanosoma brucei brucei TREU927, 101 nucleotides. The record is from RefSeq and is a predicted model, not a curated record. Lineage: Eukaryota; Euglenozoa; Kinetoplastea; Trypanosomatida; Trypanosomatidae.